UUUCUUCGGAAAAAUAUAAAAGUAUUGGGGAAAAAGUAACUUUAGUAGAUAUUACAAGUCUAAUAGUUUCUUUUUUACUAAAUUCUCCGAGGAUAAGCUCGGAGAAAAGCUAAGAAAAAUACUUAAAUUAGUUGUUGUGUGGGCUUAAGAUUGGCCAGCAUAAAAGUUUGUUAUAAAAUAAUAACGCAAUUUAUAAAAAUCAAUUUAUAUUAAUCUAGCUACCUAGGAAGAUAAUGAGUCUUAAUUAAUAAAGAUCAUAAGCCUAUGCUAAGAUGAGUAUUAAAAGCAAAUAUAUGUAUUGAGAAAUAUUUUUUCUCCCACAAACAGUAUUUUACAGACAAAUUAAUUUGAAGGAACUCGGCAAGUUCAGUUGUUUCGCCUGUUUAUCAAAAACAUCGCUCUCUGCAUUAUAUAAACGUAUAGAGAGUCGAGCCUGCCCAGUGAAUUUUUUUAACGGCCGCGGUACUCUGACCGUGCAAAGGUAGCAUAAUCAUUUGCCUUAUAAUUGAAGGCUUGUAUGAAUGGUUUGACGAGAGCAACUCUGUCUCCUUUUUAUUUUUUAGAAUUUAACUUUUAGGUGAAGAGGCCUAAAUUUAAUUGAAGGACAAGAAGACCCUGUCGAGCUUAAAAGAAAUUGUAGAAGCCAAUAUAUUUUUAAAUAAAUAUUCUGCUAAGCUUUUUAGUUGGGGCGACUAAGGAACAAUAAAAGCUUCUUAUGUAACAACAAACAACCAAGUUUAGAUCCGGCAUUUGCCGAUCAAUGGAAUUAGUUACCGCAGGGAUAACAGCAUAAUCUCUCUUGAGAGACCUAAUCGAAAGAGGGGGUUGUGACCUCGAUGUUGGACUAGAAUAUCCUGAAGAUGCAGAAG
This 869-nucleotide ribosomal RNA is filed under the name Holandriana holandrii. RNAcentral's name for it is "partial large subunit ribosomal RNA". It matches the Rfam family "Bacterial large subunit ribosomal RNA", at positions 1450 to 2561 of the family's 2925-position model. Lineage: Eukaryota; Metazoa; Mollusca; Gastropoda; Amphimelaniidae. The record is from RNAcentral.